Molecule: ribosomal RNA, 458 nt
Filed under: Myrmica alaskensis
Lineage: Eukaryota; Metazoa; Arthropoda; Insecta; Hymenoptera; Formicidae
Description: partial 28S ribosomal RNA
Source: RNAcentral
CGAACGGGGAGAUUCAUCGUCAGCGGACGCCGGCUUCGCGUCGGUCGGCGAUGUCCCGCGGGGGCCCUCGCGGCUCUCAGCGCGGGCACGCUGCCGUGCGCCGAUGUAUCCGGCUUCGCCGUCGUGCACUUCUCCCCUGGUAGAACGUCGCGACCCGCUGGGUGUCGGUCUACGGCCCGGGUGCGGUGUCUGACGCGCCGCCGGUAAAACGGCGCGCGUCAAACCCCCGGUCGCCCGGCCGGCUGCCCGGCGGUACGCGCAAGGUAUCAGGCCGCACACACAUUUGAACGGUGCGUCGAGGCCGUCGCAAGCGCGCGCCACGGUACACGGAGGUACGGACCUAGCGCCGUCACCGGUCCUGGCCCGCUGUUGGUCGUACGGUUAACCUUCGACAGGCCUACGAACGUCCCAGCGUUGGGGGUCGCGGGGGCUCGUCUCCCGCUCUCUCUCGCGUUGGC